Molecule: long non-coding RNA, 545 nt
Organism: Chiroxiphia lanceolata (lance-tailed manakin)
Lineage: Eukaryota; Metazoa; Chordata; Aves; Passeriformes; Pipridae
Exons: 4
Source: RefSeq, a predicted model, not a curated record
UGCGCCGGGACCCCCGGCCCGGGACCGCCCGCCCCGUGGGGAGGCAGCGACCGCCAGCGCUGCCGGUGCUUUGCUGUGAGGCACCGACACACACGGCAAGAAACUGACAGUAUUUUAAAACUUACAGGAUUUGCCGAGUGUCGCGUUCUGUUUGAUUUUGGCAACUGUCUCACGGUGAAUGAAACCUGGUGUCACCAAUUUCCACUCACAAAAUGGAGCUACAGAUUCCUGCAUUCUGAAGACUGAAGAAACAAAGCAGUGAGGAAGCAACCAACAUAAUUCUUAUAAAAAGAGGACUUAGAAAAUGCCCAUUUACAAAAGGAUGUAGAGAUGCUUCACCAGUAUGUCCGCACAGGACCAACCUCUCCACAGUCAGGGACAGUGCCUGAAUGAAGGGACAGUGACAGACUCAGUUUCACUGAAGUGAUGUAUUUUAGUGAGAUCUUGAUCCACCUCUUAUUCUCCGCAAAAGGGUUGGAUUUUCUGAUAUAAAAAUGCCAAUUAAGGAAGAAAAUUUAAAAUAUCAAUUAUUUAUUGCAUUUAUU